UGAGACACGACGUCGAGCUACUACGGUAGUGAAGUCAUUGAUGCCAUGCUUCCAGGAAAAGCCUCUAAGCUUCAGAUAGUCAGGAAUCGUACCCCAAACCGACACAGGUGGUCGGGUAGAGAAUACCAAGGCGCUUGAGAGAACUCGGGUGAAGGAACUAGGCAAAAUGGUACCGUAACUUCGGGAGAAGGUACGCUCUUGAUGGUGAAGUCCCUCGCGGAUGGAGCUGACGAGAGUCGCAGAUACCAGGUGGCUGCAACUGUUUAUUAAAAACACAGCACUGUGCAAAAUCGCAAGAUGACGUAUACGGUGUGACGCCUGCCCGGUGCCGGAAGGUUAAUUGAUGGGGUUAGCGCAAGCGAAGCUCUUGAUCGAAGCCCCGGUAAACGGCGGCCGUAACUAUAACGGUCCUAAGGUAGCGAAAUUCCUUGUCGGGUAAGUUCCGACCUGCACGAAUGGCGUAAUGAUGGCCACGCUGUCUCCACCCGAGACUCAGUGAAAUUGAAAUCGCUGUGAAGAUGCAGUGUACCCGCGGCUAGACGGAAAGACCCCGUGAACCUUUACUACAGCUUGGCACUGAACAUUGAACCUACAUGUGUAGGAUAGGUGGGAGGCUAUGAAGACGUGACGCCAGUUGCGUUGGAGCCGUCCUUGAAAUACCACCCUUGUAUGUUUGAUGUUCUAACUUAGACCCAUUAUCUGGGUUGAGGACAGUGCCUGGUGGGUAGUUUGACUGGGGCGGUCUCCUCCCAAAGAGUAACGGAGGAGCACGAAGGUGGGCUAAUCACGGUUGGACAUCGUGAGGUUAGUGCAAUGGCAUAAGCCCGCUUAACUGCGAGAAUGACGGUUCGAGCAGGUGCGAAAGCAGGUCAUAGUGAUCCGGUGGUUCUGUAUGGAAGGGCCAUCGCUCAACGGAUAAAAGGUACUCCGGGGAUAACAGGCUGAUACCGCCCAAGAGUUCAUAUCGACGGCGGUGUUUGGCACCUCGAUGUCGGCUCAUCACAUCCUGGGGCUGAAGUCGGUCCCAAGGGUAUGGCUGUUCGCCAUUUAAAGUGGUACGCGAGCUGGGUUUAGAACGUCGUGAGACAGUUCGGUCCCUAUCUGCCGUGGGCGUUGGAAGAUUGAAGGGGGCUGCUCCUAGUACGAGAGGACCGGAGUGGACGAACCUCUGGUGUUCGGGUUGUGUCGCCAGACGCAUUGCCCGGUAGCUAAGUUCGGAAUUGAUAAGCGCUGAAAGCAUCUAAGCGCGAAGCGAGCCCUGAGAUGAGUCUUCCCUGA
RNAcentral lists this ribosomal RNA (1278 nucleotides) under Vibrio cholerae. RNAcentral's name for it is "bacterial LSU rRNA". It matches the Rfam family "Bacterial large subunit ribosomal RNA", at positions 1557 to 2818 of the family's 2925-position model. The record is from RNAcentral. Lineage: Bacteria; Pseudomonadati; Pseudomonadota; Gammaproteobacteria; Vibrionales; Vibrionaceae.